UACGAAGGGGGCUAGCGUUGCUCGGAAUCACUGGGCGUAAAGGGUGCGUAGGCGGGUCUUUUAAGUCAGGGGUGAAAUCCUGGAGCUCAACUCCAGAACUGCCUUUGAUACUGAAGAUCUUGAGUUCGGGAGAGGUGAGUGGAACUGCGAGUGUAGAGGUGAAAUUCGUAGAUAUUCGCAAGAACACCAGUGGCGAAGGCGGCUCACUGGCCCGAUACUGACGCUGAUGCACGAAAGCGUGGGGAGCAAACAGG
RNAcentral lists this ribosomal RNA (254 nucleotides) under uncultured bacterium. RNAcentral's name for it is "partial 16S ribosomal RNA". It matches the Rfam family "Bacterial small subunit ribosomal RNA", at positions 524 to 776 of the family's 1533-position model. The record is from RNAcentral.